AGGGUUCUAUCUAAUGGGUGCUACCUAAUCGGAACAAGAAUUGACGAAUGGAGCAAGGAGAAGUGUUAGGGAUAAGGGUAGAUGGCGAUGCAUGAAGCAAUCGACUUACAAGGUUGAUGGCGAUGCAUAAAGCAAUCGACUUACAAAAGGGUGGAUGAAUACGUGCUGGUUCUGUUAGGUUUUGAAAAAUGAUUACUCGACGUUGGAUCGAGGUUUUGGUCUUGUUUUGAAAUGGUUAUCGGGUGUUCAUUUUAUUUCUUGUAUUAACAGAUGAAUAAAGAAUGAAAAAAUAUUAUACAUUUCAUGGGAGAGGGAUACAUUUGUUAUGAAUGGGGGUUGUCAUGGCAAUCAAACAAUAUAAAUAUAUGCCUCAUACAUCAUACAAGUAGGCAACAAUCAAACAAUAAGAUAUUUAAACAAGUAUAUGAUCAAAUCAAAUAAUCAAAGAAAUGAAAUGAAUGAGCAUUAAACAACGUAUGGGUGUAAGUGUAAGGGAACCGGCUCAUUGUAAGAAAGCCCAAGAGUAAGCUAUGUGAGGUUGAUGGCGAUGCUUAAAAAGCAAUCGACUUACAAGGGGCGUAAAAAAUGGGCUCGAUAUUAAAUCGAGAAAAGUGUGAUUUUUAUAGUUUGAAAAAAAUGGUUUUUGAACUAAAUUCAAAUACAAUAACUACGCAUUAUUAACACAUGAAAUUAUAAUAAGCAUAAAAAGAGAUAUUAACAAAAUACUAAAAGAAAAAAAAAAAUGCUAAAGGAAAAUAAAAUCAAAUAAAAAGCAAAAAGUGUCACACAUGAGUAUUGAACCCUCCCCACCUAAUAUUAUGCAACUGCCCUCUCUCCACUAGGCCACUCAACAAUAUCUGCUAUUAAGAUACUACCCAAAAUAUAUGAACUGGAAUAAAAGUUUAAAAUAAAACAAAACAAAGAUUUCGUGGUUUUUAUAUUAUUUCUGUAAAAAAACAAAUUUAAUUUUAAAAAAAUAAUUAAUUAAUUAAAAAAAACAGAAAGGAAAUGGAGAGUGAAGGCACAGAAGCUCGUCUUCUCCAAUCUCCCAGCACGUUCCUCUCUCUAGAGACAUUCAUCUCCCUCCACACUCGAAACAGAAACAAACUCAACAGAAAGAAAACCAGACAAUAUUCCUAACCCAAUACUCGUUUCAUCCUAUCAUCUUCUUCUCAACAAAGACCAAAACGUACUGACAACAAACAACUAGGAAAAACGCUGAACCUUUCCUAGAGCAAAAUCAAAAGAUGCAAACAAAAGGUCACAUGUUAUGAGGAUGUCGAGAGAAA
Molecule: long non-coding RNA, 1289 nt
Filed under: Lathyrus oleraceus (garden pea)
Lineage: Eukaryota; Viridiplantae; Streptophyta; Magnoliopsida; Fabales; Fabaceae
Description: Pisum sativum (pea) long non-coding RNA (PSAT_LNC040322)
Source: RNAcentral